Molecule: long non-coding RNA, 2230 nt
Organism: Oncorhynchus tshawytscha (Chinook salmon)
Lineage: Eukaryota; Metazoa; Chordata; Actinopteri; Salmoniformes; Salmonidae
Source: Ensembl
UCUGUAACGCCUUACGGUCAGAUGCCGAGCAGUUGCCAUACCAGGCAGUGAUGCAACCUCAGGCAGCUCUCUAUGGUGCAGCUGAAGAUCCUUUCGAGGAUCUGGGGGCCCAUGCCAAAUCUUUUCAGUCUCAUGAGGGGGGAAAUGUUUUGUUGUGCCUUCUUCACAACUGUCUUGGUAUGUUUGGGCCAUUCUAGUUUUUUGGUGAUGUGGAACUUGAAACUCUCGACCCACUCCACUACAGCCCUGUCGAUGGUAAUGGGGGCCUGUUCGGCCUGCCUUUUCCUGUAGUCCACGAUCAGUCCUUAGUCUUGCUUACAUUGAGGGAGAGGUUGUUGUCCUGGCACCAUACUGUCUGUCUUUGUAUGUCUCAAUAUAAUAGUAUUAUUUAAAAUAAUCUUUGUCUGAAAAUAAAAUAUGAUCCUCAACUACGUUUCCCCUCCAGUCAGCAGACGCGAUGUGCGUCUUUCAGGCGAUGCUGCCAGCGUGACGUAUAGUCUAGUGGACGGUUCUUCAGAAACAGCUCGUCAAGCACCUCCGUAGCUUGCUAGCGAACAUAGUCGAAAGAUUCAAGCUAUUUAUACGCUUUCGUUGUAUAUUAGCUACUGUGUUUUAUACACACUUCUAUCGUAUCUACUCGUUAACCCAUUUAAUUUAAUAUGACGUUAUUUUGUAUUAGUCAGAUAUAGUAGCUGGCUGGUUAAGUUAGCACUAGCCUAGUCGCUAAUGAUAGCUAGCUAGCUAACAUCCCAGAACAUGAGCUCCCUAAACUACUCUCCUGCUAAAGAAGAGGAGGUCUGCUGGACGGAGAAAGAAGCUCUGGGGCUGAACAUUGUCGUGAAAGAGGAGAAGGAAGAGGAGGAUGUCACAGUAAAACAAGUAGAGGGUGAGGCUGUUAGAGUGAAAGAAGAGGAUGUCGUUUUUGGUGUGAAAAAGAGGUUGGAGAUCUGUUUAACACCAGAGAGAGACGUGACUAUAGUGGAUCCUCUGGGGAGCUUCAACAACAUCAUGAUGCUGACGAGGCAGAGAAGAGUCUCCAGAUCAGGACACCUCAAGAAACCCCAGCAGAGACCCACAGGGAAGAAAUCUCACCACUGCUCUGACUGUGGGAAAUGUUGCAAAUAUUCAUCAGAUCUUAAAAUACACCAUUGAGUACACAGAGAGAAACCUCACCACUGUUUUGAUUGUGGGAAGAGUUACUUAAGAUCAAAUUCACUAAAAGUACACCUGAGAAUUCACACUGGAGAGAAACCGUAUAGCUGUGAUCAAUGUGGGAAGAGUUUUACUCAGUCAAGCAACCUGGUAUCACACCAGAGAAAAUACUCAGGAGAGAAACCUUAUAGCUGUGAUCAAUGUGGGAAGAGUUUUACUACAUCUAGCCAUCUGAUUGUACACCAGAGAACACACACAGGGGAGAAAUCUUAAAGCUGUGAUCAAUGUGACAAAAGAUAAUCUGAUUAAAGAUCUCUGACUAAACAUCAGAAAAUACAUGGAGUUGUUUCAUGAUAUCAAUGAAUUAAUGUCACAAUGUAGAAUGUUUUAAUAUUGUAGUAGGAGUAUUUUAAUGAUGUCACAAUGUGGAAUGUUUUAACAUUGUACAGCCGUGGCCAAAAGUUUUGAGAAUGACACAAAUAUACAUUUUCACACAGUCUGCUGCCUCAGUUUGUAUGAUGGCAAUUUGCAUACACUCCAGAAUGUUAUGAAGAGUGAUCAGAUGAAUUGAAAUUAAUCGCAAUUAUUAUUAUUAUUAUUAUUAAUUAGUCCCUCUUUUCCAUGCAAAUUAACUGAAUCCCCCAAAAAACAUUUCCAUUGCAUUUCAGCCCUGCGACAAAAGGACCAGCUGACAUCAUGUCAGUGAUUCUCUCGUUAACACAGGUGUGAGUGUUGAGGAGGACAAGGCUGGAGAUCACUCUGUCAUGCUGAUUGAGUUUGAAUAACAGACUGGAAACUUCAAAAGGAGGGAGGUGCUUGGAAUCAUUGUUCCACAGAGUCUAUAAAAGGCAAAGAUCAUUUAAUAAUAGAAGUGAUGUCACAACAAUAUGAAUAUGAGAAAUCCUGAUAACAAUGCAGAUAUCUCACCUGAAGUUGUUGUUUCUUCUUGUAAUCCUGAUAAUAAUGCAGAUAUCUCACCUCUAGUUGUUGUUUCUUCUUGUAAUCCUGAUAAUAAUGCAGAUAUCUCACCUCUAGUUGUUGUUUCUUCUUGUAAUCCUGAUAAUAAUGCAGAUAUCUC